GUCCCAGUAGCUCAGUUGGUACGAGCAUUCGGCUGUUAACCGAGGGGUCGCUGGUUCGAGUCCAGCCUGGGACG
This 74-nucleotide transfer RNA is filed under the name Candidatus Pacearchaeota archaeon. RNAcentral describes it as "tRNA-Asn". It matches the Rfam family "tRNA". Rfam says of the family: Transfer RNA (tRNA) molecules are approximately 80 nucleotides in length. Their secondary structure includes four short double-helical elements and three loops (D, anti-codon, and T loops). Lineage: Archaea; Nanobdellati. The record is from RNAcentral.